RNAcentral lists this ribosomal RNA (496 nucleotides) under uncultured bacterium. RNAcentral's name for it is "bacterial SSU rRNA". It matches the Rfam family "Bacterial small subunit ribosomal RNA", at positions 39 to 524 of the family's 1533-position model. The record is from RNAcentral.
UGCGGCAAGCUUACACAUGCAAGUCGAACGGUAGCACAUAGAAGCUUGCUCCUUGGGUGACGAGUGGCGGACGGGUGAGUAAUGCUUGGGAAUCUGGCUUAUGGAGGGGGAUAACUACUGGAAACGGUAGCUAAUACCGCGUAAUGUCUACGGACUAAAGGGUGGGACCAUUUGGCCACCUGCCAUAAGAUGAGCCCAAGUGGGAUUAGGUAGUUGGUGAGGUAAAGGCUCACCAAGCCCGCGAUCUCUGGCUGGUCUGAGAGGAUGACCAGCCACACUGGAACUGAGACACGGUCCAGACUCCUACGGGAGGCAGCAGUGGGGAAUAUUGCACAAUGGGGGGAACCCUGAUGCAGCCAUGCCGCGUGAAUGAAGAAGGCCUUCGGGUUGUAAAGUUCUUUCGGUGACGAGGAAGGCGAUUGUUUUAAUAGAACAGUCGAUUGACGUUAAUCACAGAAGAAGCACCGGCUAACUCCGUGCCAGCAGCCGCGGUAAU